RNAcentral lists this ribosomal RNA (253 nucleotides) under uncultured bacterium. RNAcentral's name for it is "partial 16S ribosomal RNA". It matches the Rfam family "Bacterial small subunit ribosomal RNA", at positions 524 to 776 of the family's 1533-position model. The record is from RNAcentral.
UACGUAGGGGGCGAGCGUUAUCCGGAUUUACUGGGCGUAAAGCGCGUUAAGGCGGUUGGCAAAGUUGGUUGUGAAAUCUCAGGGCUCAACCCUGAAAUUGCGACCAAUACUGGUCGACUAGAGUGCAAGAGAGGAAGGUGGAAUUCCCGGUGUAGUAGUGAAAUGCGUAGAUAUCGGGAGGAACACCUGUGGCGAAGGCGGCCUUCUGGCUUGUAACUGACGCUGUAGCGCGAAAGCGUGGGGAGCGAACCGG